Molecule: ribosomal RNA, 253 nt
Filed under: uncultured bacterium
Lineage: Bacteria
Description: partial 16S ribosomal RNA
Rfam family: Bacterial small subunit ribosomal RNA
Source: RNAcentral
UACGGGGGGGGCCAGCGUUGUUCGGAAUUAUUGGGCGUAAAGGGCGCGUAGGCGGCGUGGUGAGUCAGUUGUGAAAUCCCUCGGCUCAACCGAGGAAUUGCGUCUGAGACUGCCAUGCUUGAGUCCCGGAGAGGGUAGCGGAAUUCCCAGUGUAGCGGUGAAAUGCGUAGAUAUUGGGAGGAACACCAGUGGCGAAGGCGGCUACCUGGACGGGCACUGACGCUGAGGCGCGAAAGCCAGGGGAGCAAACGGG